This is a non-coding RNA of Camellia sinensis, 978 nucleotides long. Lineage: Eukaryota; Viridiplantae; Streptophyta; Magnoliopsida; Ericales; Theaceae. The record is from RefSeq and is a predicted model, not a curated record.
UGUAAAUUGAUUUCUUCGACUUGAAUCCAUUUUUCGGUUGAACCCACGGCUUCUAAUCGACCAUGGCUUAUUAUUUUUACAAACCUUUUUUUCCCCCUUUUUGGCCUUGAUUUCUUGAUGACAAUGAUUGGGAUUGGUUGUGGGUGUUGGUAAUGGUGAGUAUCGGGGGGUGGAUGGUGUGUAUGACAUGAUAGGGUAAAGAUGAAUGGUGCCUCAUCUUUAUGGUACUGUGGCAUGGUAGAAAAGAGGAAAAGGGUUAACAGAGGUGGUGGUGCUGCUGCCGUGAGGGGAAAAAAUGAGGAGGGUAGUAGGAAUGGAAGAAAAUGAAGGAAAAUUGGAAGGAAGGAAAAGAAAAAGAUUAUUGUGCCAUAAGGGGAAUGGUAGGUACGGGCAGUGGUGGCAAGUGUUGCGAGGGAGAGAAGAGGCAAGGCAAUGGUGGAAGUGAAGGAAAAGAAAGUGGCUAGUUGUAGAGAGUUCCGUGAGGAAGGUGAGGGUAGUGGUGGCGAUGGUGCUGUGAGUAAGAGAUGGAGGAUGACAGUUGAGUAGAGAAAAGCUCAUAGAGAAGAACAAGGCCAAUUGAGUGAUUGAGUUGAAUGAAGAGAAAGACUAGGGUCCUGUCUUAAGAGACAGUAGUAUUGAACCAAUAGUGAGAUAAAAGUCCGCAAACAUCAUAUUUAUUUUGAAAAACUGUCAAGGAUUAAAAAUAAAAAUUAAAGUCUUCAAAUAAGCUUUAAAUAAUAAAAGUAAAAACAGACUAAUGUUUAAUUAAAAAACUUUCUUCCUUUCGUUACUUUCAUCAAAAAACUAAAAAAAUUCCUGGUUGGCCGAAUUUAUUGCACUACUUCUAAAUGCAAAGAAAUCAAUCAUUAAUAGAAAUAAGAAUUAUAACUAAGUUAUCAAAUUGACCAGGUUAAAAAAAAAUACACAAGCAUAACUAGAUUUAUAGUCAAAAGCAAAUAUAACAACUCAUAAAAUAUC